Molecule: ribosomal RNA, 493 nt
Filed under: uncultured bacterium
Lineage: Bacteria
Description: partial 16S ribosomal RNA
Rfam family: Bacterial small subunit ribosomal RNA
Source: RNAcentral
ACUCAAAUGAAUUGACGGGGAAACGCACAACCAGCGUGCCAUGUGGUUUAAUUCGAAACGAAACGAUAGACCUUACCUGGGUUUGAAAUAACACCGUUUUAGUCACCUGGAAACAGGAGAUGAUCCGCAAGGAUGGUGCUACAGCUGCUGCAUGGCUGUCGUCAGUUCGUGUCGUGAGGCGUCGAUUUAAGUAUCGUAACGAACGCAACCCCUGCUGUAUGUUAAAUAUCCAUACGGGACUGCCCUGCUUUUUUAGUGGGGAGGAAGGAGGGGAUGAUGUCAAGUCAGCAUGGCGCUUACAUCCAGGGCCACACACAUGGCGUAAUGGUCGGGACAACGGGUCGCGAAAGAGUAAUCUGGAGCUAAUCCUAAUAAACCCGACCUCAGUUCGGAUUGUGGGCUGAAACUCGCCCACAUGAAGGGGAGUUGGUAGUAAUCGCAGAUCAGCAAUACUGCGGUGAAUACGUUCUCGUUUCUUGUACACACCGCCCGU